Prionailurus viverrinus (fishing cat) is the source of this 223-nucleotide long non-coding RNA. RefSeq lists it as uncharacterized. Lineage: Eukaryota; Metazoa; Chordata; Mammalia; Carnivora; Felidae. The transcript is spliced from 3 exons. The record is from RefSeq and is a predicted model, not a curated record.
AUAAGAGACAUGAUUUGACUGUCUUGGGUGUCAGCUUAACAUUCCAUAGAUGGGGUAGUUUUUACAUCCUAUAAUACCAAGCAUACUAAAUGGCAAUUUGGAGUCAGUCGUGCAUUUAAUAUGUCUUGAACAUUUUAAAUUACUUCUAUUCCCAUGUUGUUUUUGGUAGAAUUGUUUCCUAAAGAAAACCACCUCUUGAUCUUGGCUCUCCCCAGUCUCUUAU